UGGGGAAUAUUGGACAAUGGGGGAAACCCUGAUCCAGCGAUGCCGCGUGAGUGAAGAAGGCCUUCGGGUUGUAAAGCUCUUUUAGCAGGGAAGAUAAUGACGGUACCUGCAGAAUAAGCCCCGGCAAACUUCGUGCCAGCAGCCGCGGUAAUACGAAGGGGGCUAGCGUUGUUCGGAAUUACUGGGCGUAAAGAGCGCGUAGGCGGCUUUAUAAGUUAGGUGUGAAAGCCCCGGGCUUAACCUGGGAACAGCACUUAAUACUGUAAAGCUAGAGUGUGAUAGAGGAUGAUGGAAUUCCUAGUGUAGAAGUGAAAUUCGUAGAUAUUAGGAGGAACACCAGUGGCGAAGGCGGUCAUCUGGGUCAUAACUGACGCUAAGGCGCGAAAGCGUGGGGAGCAAA
Molecule: ribosomal RNA, 400 nt
Filed under: uncultured bacterium
Lineage: Bacteria
Description: bacterial SSU rRNA
Rfam family: Bacterial small subunit ribosomal RNA
Source: RNAcentral